RNAcentral lists this ribosomal RNA (521 nucleotides) under uncultured bacterium. RNAcentral's name for it is "bacterial SSU rRNA". It matches the Rfam family "Bacterial small subunit ribosomal RNA", at positions 876 to 1397 of the family's 1533-position model. The record is from RNAcentral.
GGGAGUACGUUCGCAAGAAUGAAACUCAAAGGAAUUGACGGGGGCCCGCACAAGCGGAGGAACAUGUGGUUUAAUUCGAUGAUACGCGAGGACCCUUACUUGGGUUUAAAUGUAGGUUGCAUGGAAGGNAAACUUCCCUUUCCUUCGGGACUACUUACAAGGUGCUGCAUGGUUGUCGUCAGCUCGUNCCGUGAGGUGUCGGGUUAAGUCCCAUAACGAGCGCAACCCCUAUCGUUAGUUGCCAGCAAGUAAAGUUGGGGACUCUAGCGAGACUGCCGGUGUAAACCGAGAGGAAGGUGGGGAUGACGUCAAAUCAGCACGGCCCUUAUAUCCAGGGCUACACACGUGUUACAAUGGUCGGUACAAAGAGCAGCCACUUGGUGACAAGGCGCUAAUCUCGAAAGCCGAUCUCAGUUCGGAUCGAAGUCUGCAACUCGACUUCGUGAAGUUGGAUUCGCUAGUAAUCGCGCAUCAGCCAUGGCGCGGUGAAUACGUUCCCGGGCCUUGUACACACCGCCCGU